GAUGAACGCUGGCGGCGUGCCUAAUACAUGCAAGUCGAGCGAACGGACGAGAAGCUUGCUUCUCUGAUGUUAGCGGCGGACGGGUGAGUAACACGUGGAUAACCUACCUAUACGACUGGGAUAACUUCGGGAAACCGGAGCUAAUACCGGAUAAUAUUUUGAACCGCAUGGUUCAAAAGUGAAAGACGGUCUUGCUGUCACUUAUAGAUGGAUCCGCGCUGCAUUAGCUAGUUGGUAAGGUAACGGCUUACCAAGGCAACGAUGCAUAGCCGACCUGAGAGGGUGAUCGGCCACACUGGAACUGAGACACGGUCCAGACUCCUACGGGAGGCAGCAGUAGGGAAUCUUCCGCAAUGGGCGAAAGCCUGACGGAGCAACGCCGCGUGAGUGAUGAAGGUCUUCGGAUCGUAAAACUCUGUUAUUAGGGAAGAACAUAUGUGUAAGUAACUGUGCACAUCUUGACGGAACCUAAUCAGAAAGCCACGGCUAACUACGUG
This 497-nucleotide ribosomal RNA is filed under the name uncultured bacterium. RNAcentral describes it as "partial 16S ribosomal RNA". It matches the Rfam family "Bacterial small subunit ribosomal RNA", at positions 28 to 507 of the family's 1533-position model. The record is from RNAcentral.